UUCCUCUCUAACCAAAUACACCAAAAAAUACAAGCAGGUAUCAUAAUCCAGAUCUUCUUGAUGACUUUGUCAACUUUCCAUAGACUCCAAUUCUCAUAUGCAUCCUUAACAGCACAAUAUAAGCUGAGCUAAUGAGUUAGUAAAAUCCUGAAGUUGUUCUGCAUUAACAGCAUGAUACAAGUUGGUCCAACUAAACAAAUUUUCAGUGCACCUAGUCUUCAAAAUGCCUAAAGCAGUUGACUCUCCAUCAAAACAUCUCUUGUUCCUCUCUAACCAAAUACACCAAAAAAUACAAGCAGGUAUCAUAAUCCAGAUCUUCUUGAUGACUUUGUCAACUUUCCAUAGACUCCAAUUCUCAUAUGCAUCCUUAACAGCACAAUAUAAGCUGAGCUAAUGAGUUAGUAAAAUCCUGAAGUUGUUCUGCAUUAACAGCAUGAUACAAGUUGGUCCAACUAAACAAAUUUUCAGUGCACCUAGUCUUCAAAAUGCCUAAAGCAGUUGACUCUCCAUCAAAACAUCUCUUG
RNAcentral lists this long non-coding RNA (524 nucleotides) under Solanum tuberosum (potato). RNAcentral describes it as "long non-coding RNA (STUB_LNC006670)". Lineage: Eukaryota; Viridiplantae; Streptophyta; Magnoliopsida; Solanales; Solanaceae. The record is from RNAcentral.